CCUACGGGUUGCAGCAGUAGGGAAUCUUCCGCAAUGGACGAAAGUCUGACGGAGCAACGCCGCGUGAGUGAUGAAGGCUUUCGGGUCGUAAAACUCUGUUGUUAGGGAAGAACAAGUGCCAGUUGAAUAAGCUGGCACCUUGACGGUACCUAACCAGAAAGCCACGGCUAACUACGUGCCAGCAGCCGCGGUAAUACGUAGGUGGCAAGCGUUAUCCGGAAUUAUUGGGCGUUAAGCGCGCGCAGGUGGUUUCUUAAGUCUGAUGUGAAAGCCCACGGCUCAACCGUGGAGGGUCAUUGGAAACUGGGAGACUUGAGUGCAGAAGAGGGAAGUGGAAUUCCAUGUGUAGCGGUGAAAUGCGUAGAGAUGUGGAGGAACACCGGUGGCGAAGGCGACUUUCUGGUCUGUAACUGACACUGAGGCGCGAUAGCGUGGGGAGCAAACAGGAUUAGAUACCCUCGUAGUC
This 466-nucleotide ribosomal RNA is filed under the name uncultured bacterium. RNAcentral describes it as "bacterial SSU rRNA". It matches the Rfam family "Bacterial small subunit ribosomal RNA", at positions 338 to 795 of the family's 1533-position model. The record is from RNAcentral.